RNAcentral lists this non-coding RNA (45 nucleotides) under Echinostoma caproni. Lineage: Eukaryota; Metazoa; Platyhelminthes; Trematoda; Plagiorchiida; Echinostomatidae. The record is from RNAcentral.
GCACUACUGAUGAGUCUUAAACAGGACGAAACAGCUGUCCAGUGC